GGGCGGCAGGGAGUGUCAGAGAAGGGAAGAGUGGGGAUGAGACUAGACUGGACGAGGCCGAGAGACACAGGUCCAGAUCCACACUUAGGGUCGGUGGAAUCGGAGGAAUUGCGAUUUGUGGGAGGACCACGCCCUUUCUGCGACGAUGGUGAGGGGCAAGCAAAAGAUCGAGGCUCAGAAGCGAGCUGCGGAGCGUAAUGAGAAGCCGAAGGGCUCGCAGAUUGAAGCGCGAAGCGCGGGCUUGAAAACGAUUUGCGUUGUUUGUAAGUCGGUUCCAAGGUCAUGCUAAUCCUCUAGCACAUGAGUCUCCGUUGACAUUAAUGCGGCACAAGACCACAGCUAUGGGAUAUGCGCCGAAAAAAAGCACCUCUCGCAAAUCACAAGCAGCUAGUGGAUCACUAUGGCUCGAAGCAUCCCAAAGAGACGCCUCCACCAGCUCCCUCAACCUAGCAACACCUUCGAUUUCUGAAUUAUGGAGUCACCUCUGGGGCUUUCGAAGCAAACAUGUUAACCAGCUUCAAAGCUGGCAUUUAUGUAGUUGUAAAUUUGUGAGAUUAUGGUCUGAAAUCAUGAGUUCACUUGUUAGUUUGGAAUAAGGACCUGAUUUAUGCUACUAAAAGCUGGAAUUCUCCUAGGUUCCGAACUUAUAUUGUGGACACGAUAUGCUUGGUUAAUGGAGUUCCUGACUAAAAAUUCAGUUAGGCGCUUCGCUUGAAGCCACAGUUUUGAAACG
Non-coding RNA from Physcomitrium patens, 733 nucleotides. NCBI's taxonomy places the organism in Eukaryota, Viridiplantae, Streptophyta, Bryopsida, Funariales, Funariaceae. The record is from RefSeq and is a predicted model, not a curated record.